This 254-nucleotide ribosomal RNA is filed under the name uncultured bacterium. RNAcentral describes it as "partial 16S ribosomal RNA". It matches the Rfam family "Bacterial small subunit ribosomal RNA", at positions 524 to 776 of the family's 1533-position model. The record is from RNAcentral.
UACGUAGGCAGCGAGCGUUGUUCGGAGUUACUGGGCGUAAAGGGUGUGUAGGCGGUUCUCUAAGUUUGGUGUGAAAUCUCCCGGCUCAACCGGGAGGGUGCGCCGAAAACUGGAGGGCUAGAGUGCGGGAAGGGAGAGUAGAAUUCCUGGUGUAGCGGUGAAAUGCGUAGAUAUCAGGAGGAAUACCGGUGGUGUAGACGGCUUUCUGGACCGUAACUGACGCUGAGACACGAAAAGCGUGGGUAGCAAACAGG